GGGUUGUGAGGUUAAGCGACCAAGCGUACACGGUGGAUGCCCUGGCAGUCAGAGGCGAUGAAGGACGUGCUAAUCUGCGAAAAGCGCCGGUAAGGUGAUAUGAACCGUUAUAACCGGCGAUGUCCGAAUGGGGAAACCCAGUGUGACUCGUCACACUAUCAUUAACUGAAUCCAUAGGUUAAUGAGGCGAACCGGGGGAACUGAAACAUCUAAGUACCCCGAGGAAAAGAAAUCAACCGAGAUUCCCCCAGUAGCGGCGAGCGAACGGGGAGGAGCCCAGAGCCUGAAUCAGCAUGUGUGUUAGUGGAAGCGUCUGGAAAGGCGCGCGAUACAGGGUGAGAGCCCCGUACACAAAAGCGCAUAUGCUGUGAGCUCGAUGAGUAGGGCGGGACACGUGGUAUCCUGUCUGAAUAUGGGGGGACCAUCCUCCAAGGCUAAAUACUCCUGACUGACCGAUAGUGAACCAGUACCGUGAGGGAAAGGCGAAAAGAACCCCGGCGAGGGGAGUGAAACAGAACCUGAAACCGUGUACGUACAAGCAGUGGGAGCCCCACCACUAAGCCAGUGGUGAACUCCACAUACGCAUCCUUUGCGGAAGAUGCGGUUAACGGCGCGCAAGCGACGUUCAACCUCAGAAGAAGCAGAGGGGGCUUAGUGGUGGGGUGACUGCGUACCUUUUGUAUAAUGGGUCAGCGACUUAUAUUCUGUAGCAAGGUUAACCGCAUAGGGGAGCCGAAGGGAAACCGAGUCUUAAUUGGGCGUUAAGUUGCAGGGUAUAGACCCGAAACCCGGUGAUCUAGCCAUGGGCAGGUUGAAGGUUGGGUAACACUAACUGGAGGACCGAACCGACUAAUGUUGAAAAAUUAGCGGAUGACCUGUGGCU
RNAcentral lists this ribosomal RNA (883 nucleotides) under Salmonella enterica. Its description in RNAcentral is "bacterial LSU rRNA". It matches the Rfam family "Bacterial large subunit ribosomal RNA", at positions 1 to 816 of the family's 2925-position model. RNAcentral also lists the same sequence under 1 other name. Lineage: Bacteria; Pseudomonadati; Pseudomonadota; Gammaproteobacteria; Enterobacterales; Enterobacteriaceae. The record is from RNAcentral.